This 209-nucleotide ribosomal RNA is filed under the name uncultured bacterium. RNAcentral describes it as "partial 16S ribosomal RNA". It matches the Rfam family "Bacterial small subunit ribosomal RNA", at positions 568 to 774 of the family's 1533-position model. The record is from RNAcentral.
CGUGUAGGCGGUCGAUCAAGUCGGAGGUGAAAUCCCUCGGCUCAACUGAGGAAUUGCCUUCGAUACUGUUCGGCUUGAGUCCUGGAGAGGGUAGCGGAAUUCCCGGUGUAGCGGUGAAAUGCGUAGAGACCGGGAAGAACACCAGUGGCGAAGGCGGCUACCUGGACAGGUACUGACGCUAACAGCGCGAAAGCUAGGGGGAGCAAACA